CUGAAAUCAGGCGGGAUUACCCGCUGAACUUAAGCAUAUCAAUAAGCGGA
This 50-nucleotide ribosomal RNA is filed under the name Chlamydoabsidia padenii. Its description in RNAcentral is "partial 28S ribosomal RNA". Lineage: Eukaryota; Fungi; Mucoromycota; Mucoromycetes; Mucorales; Cunninghamellaceae. The record is from RNAcentral.